RNAcentral lists this ribosomal RNA (493 nucleotides) under uncultured bacterium. RNAcentral's name for it is "partial 16S ribosomal RNA". It matches the Rfam family "Bacterial small subunit ribosomal RNA", at positions 27 to 507 of the family's 1533-position model. The record is from RNAcentral.
GAGUGAACGCUGGCGGUAGGCCUAACACAUGCAAGUCGAACGGCAGCACAGUAAGAGCUUGCUCUUACGGGUGGCGAGUGGCGGACGGGUGAGGAAUACAUCGGAAUCUACUUUUUCGUGGGGGAUAACGUAGGGAAACUUACGCUAAUACCGCAUACGACCUACGGGUGAAAGCAGGGGAUCUUCGGACCUUACGCGAUUGAAUGAGCCGAUGUCGGAUUAGCUAGUUGGCGGGGUAAAGGCCCACCAAGGCGACGAUCCGUAGCUGGUCUGAGAGGAUGAUCAGCCACACUGGAACUGAGACACGGUCCAGACUCCUACGGGAGGCAGCAGUGGGGAAUAUUGGACAAUGGGCGCAAGCCUGAUCCAGCCAUACCGCGUGGGUGAAGAAGGCCUUCGGGUUGUAAAGCCCUUUUGUUGGGAAAGAAAAGCAGCAGGUUAGUACCCCGCUGUUCUGACGGUACCCAAAGAAUAAGCACCGGCUAACUUCGUG